Molecule: RNA transcript, 11017 nt
Organism: Falco peregrinus (peregrine falcon)
Lineage: Eukaryota; Metazoa; Chordata; Aves; Falconiformes; Falconidae
Gene: VEPH1
Gene name: ventricular zone expressed PH domain containing 1
Exons: 17
Source: RefSeq, a predicted model, not a curated record
UCAAGCUGCUGCUGAAGUUAAGCUUUGUGAAGAAUUAGUUCUGAUCUGUUUUUGAGUGCUGGAGUUGGGGAAAAUGGAGAGAAGAUAUUUGUUUGCUUGAUUCCACAUGACAACUCCAGGGUAACUGAAUAGACUGUACGGUUGGUUUGACAAGGCUGUGCACCGAGCCAGCAGCCUCACAUACCAGAGACGGGGGAUGGAAGGGGGACUGACAACUGUAAUGGAUUUUUAUCAGAAUUUCUCUAAAGAGCGACAAUUUCCCUUCAAUUAUUAAUGUUUUUCAGAGAUUUUUCUUCUGAGAGUCUCUUUCAUCCAAGGCAUCCAAAGCACUUCAUGCAACCCGGAGUAUUAAGCAUGGCAACAUGUCUGCAAGGUUGGUGCCAAGGAACUCUUGAAAUAUGCCCCGGAUUUAUUCUUUGUAUUAAAUUGAUCACUAGUCUGCAGGACUGUUUCUAUUCUGUCCACAUCUGAGUUUUUCAUGCACAUGGUGCAUGCAGAGGUUUGGCUGAGCAGCAGCAAACACAGCCAUGCAUCAUCUGUUUGGGCUGGUUUUGGCACAGAAGGACCUUUCACGUGCAGGGGAUCUUUUCUCCUUAGACGAUGCUGAAAUCGAAGGAAGCCUCUCAGAAGCUCUUGAACAAAUAAGAGUAAUUAGUUCGUCUGUGGACUACCAGACCAAUGACAAUGACCAGGCUGUGGUGGAAAUCUGCAUCACUCGCAUCACCACUGCCAUCAGGGAGACGGCGUCCAUAGAAAAGCAUGGGAAAGCCCUCGUGGCUCUCUGGGAGUCUUGUCUAGAGCACAACCUGAAGCCUUCUGGUAAAGAUGAGGACACACCACAUGCAAAAAUUGCAUCCGAUAUCAUGAGCUGUAUCUUGCAGAAUUACAAUCGACCUCCGGUAAUGGCCCUAGCUGUUCCAGUGGCAGUGAAAUUUCUUCAGAGGGGCAAUAAGGAACUGUGCAGAAACAUGUCAAGUUAUCUAUCCUUGGCUGCAAUCGCUAAAGCAGAUCUGCUGGCUGAUCACACAGACACCAUUGUCAAAAGUGUCCUUCAAGGGAACUCGAUGCUGCUGCGUGUCCUGCCUGCUCUGUACGAGAAGCAACCGCAGCUGAUAAACCUCCAUCUGAGGGAGCUGGUGGCACUGAUGGCUCAGCUGGAUCAAGCCGAACAGCACCAUCUUCUCAGGCUCCUCCAGAUUGUGGCUAGGAGAAAAGAACUUGGGGUGCUGAAAGAGUGUAUACCACUUCUAUUUGGCCACCUGAGAGACCCUAACCAUGGUGACAUUAUUCUAAACAUACUUAUAGAAAUAUCUAGCUAUGAACCAACAGCCUUAGCUGCUUUUCUUCCAAUGUUGAAAGAAAUUGGUGAGAGUUUUCCAAGUCUGAUUGGGCAAACAGCAAAGAUCUUUGGAGCUGUUGGACAUAUUGAUGAGGAGCAAGCCAGAAUAUGCCUGAUGUAUUUGGUGAACCAGCUGGCCAACAUGGAGCACUCAUUUCACCAUAUUCUUUUGCUGGAAAUUAAGAGUCUCACUGACACCUUCUUGAGCAUCUUGGGUACCCAGAGCAGAGAUAUCUACCGCAUGAGCAACAGUUUCACCACCAUAGCCAAGCUCCUGGUCCGACAGCUAGAAAGCGACAACACGGCAGGAGCCAGAAUGGAAAAUGAUGCUGAAACAGAAUCCCCUGUACCACUGGAUGAUUUCAAAUCUGUUAUGAAUGGAAAUGAAGAAGAUGAAAAACUUCAAGUUAAAAUACAGGCUUUUGAAGAGAAAAUAAAUGUUGACAACAGUACUCCUGGCUCAGUGCGGAGAUACAGUUUAGGCCAGGUUUCUAAAGAAGAAAGGAAGGAUAUGAGAUUUAACAGGUCCAAAAGCCUCGCUUUGCAUGCAGUCCGCACGAAGGGGGUUAACUCAGAGAGCGGCCAGGACGAGGAGAAUGGGGAGAUAACUGCUGGUAUCUCCUUCACAGAGAUCUACAUUAGCCAAGAAAAUGAUAAAUUGCCUUUUAGUGUUGAUACUGAAGCAAUGCAACUGGGAAAUUCCGUGGUUUCACGCCAAAGUAUCGAUUACCCAGAAUCAGCAAAUCUGCCAGAAUCUGCUAAAGAAAAGGCCCUCGAAGGAAGCCCGGAGGCAGUGACGAGCCCUGUGGAAUACCAGGACAAGCUCUACUUGCACUUGAAGGAAAACCUGGGUAAAGUGAAAGCAUAUGUCACAGAGAUGGGGAGGAAAAUUCCUAUCCCCGAUCAGUGUGUUAUUGAAGAUACUGUUAGAAGUUGUGUCGCAAAGCUGUCUUUCAGCUGUCCCCUGAAGGGCCAUUACUGCUUGUACAGUAAAUCCAGUUUUACCCUCGUCAGCCGGCAGCCUCCGCUGUGGAUCCAUAUCAUGUUCCUCUUUCAGCAGAGCUUGUUUGCAGAGCCUUUGUCCAUACAGAGUAAUUCUGUGCAAGUCCUUAAGGCCCUGUGGGAGAAGACACAGCUUAAGGGGACACACAGUUUUGAAACUGCCAUGAUCCAGUCUACGUUUCCACACCAAAAGGACCUGGACCAUGUGCAGAUGCACCUGGAAGAAGUGAGGUUCUUUGAUUUAUUCGGCUACAGCGAGGAAGCAGGAGCUUGGCAGUGUUUCAUGUGCAAUAACCCUGAAAAGGCAACAGUUGUAAAUCAGGAUGGCCAACCUCUGAUUGAAGGCAAGCUCAAAGAGAAGCAAGUCCGGUGGAAGUUUAUCAAAAGGUGGAAAACUCGCUACUUCACUCUGGCUGGCAACCAGCUGCUUUUUCGGAAAGGAAAAUCUAAAGACGACCCCGAUGACUGCCCGAUUGAGCUCAGCAAGGUGCAGAGUGUUAAAGUGGUGGCAAAGAAGCGCAGGGACCGCAGCCUGCCCCGGGCCUUUGAGAUCUUCACCGACAGCAAAACCUAUGUUUUCAAGGCCAAAGACAAGAAGAAUGCUGAGGAGUGGCUUCAGUGCAUCAACGUUGCUGUUGCACAGGCUAGAGAGCGGGAGAACCAAGAGGCCACCACCUACUUGUAGAGCUGCUGUCACCUCGGUGGCUGUACCAGCAAACCAAACGUGUCUGGUACCUCUCCAGCACAGAGCACCCCACUGCCGUACCGUGGACCUCUUUCACCUCCAAAAGGCCCGCUGGCUCCUGGAAAACUGUGGGGGAGAUGGUGUGUUGGCGUGGGCCAGGGAGAGCUGUGUGCAGUGCAAGAGUCUAAGGCAUCAGUAAUGGCACGAGGUGAGGAGUGCCACCGUGCGGGAGCGCUCCCUGGCACUGGGACAUUUGCUGGUGUAGAAGCAGCUUCCAUGGCCACAUGUGAAAUGCAGGGUUUUUCUUCAGCCCAAAGGCCUGCAAGCCAGGAGACAUAGCUAGAGACAAACCUGGACCCCAGGCCCCCAGCUGUUACUUCUGAGAUGCACAAAGUUUGGGUGGAGUGUUCAAGCGCGUCUGCAGACCGGACUGCUGCCACCUCCGCUGCCUCUGGAUGUAAAUGAAGCUAUGGAGCCAAACCUCGAUUUAAAGGCAGAAGAGAAAGGGUAACAGAAGAGAUACGAUGGGAAAUUUCCGUGGCCUCUCUGGCAGACAAGGAGAUUCCAGUCAUUUAAUUUUCAAUACCUGGACCAGUAAAUCCUUACUUUACCCACAGGACUCACCAUUGAGCCUAACAGGAAUGAAGUUAAUUCACAGGUGUGAACUCGUGGAUUUAAGGUCUUAAGUUCCAGAACUACAUCCUACACUAAACACUGGAUUCAGCCACCAAGACAUGUCACUGGAGUUCAAUGGUACAGUAAGUGGGCCAUUAAAACAUUUUUUACAGACAAAACAGUCUGUAUUUCUUAAUCUUGAUGCCAAGUUUCAGUCUGCCACUUAUGCAUUACAUCAUCAGUUUAAUGCACACACUUAUCCGCGUGCAUAUAUGUGCGUACAAACGCAUGUUGUCAUCUACCUGACAGAGUAUGGGGAUGUGCAAAAAAAAAAACUUCACCACUGAGUGAUUUCCAGGUCUGAGUGAGAAACUCGCGUAGGGCAAAAACGCAGCUCUGCUUCACCUGCUGUCUCAAGGUUUGUCAUCAGUCGCUUACAUCCUCCCUUUCAAUCUCAACGUGAUUGAAACAAUAUGGAAUGCAUAGCUAUGUAGUUAGAGAGGCUUUGGGUUCUGUGCCAAAAAAUAAUUGCAUAAAGUAAGAAGCUUAGCCACACUUCUCCUGUCUUGAAUUAAAACUUGGAAUAAAACAAAAGAGAAAUUCAGCUGGCAACUUAUUCUAGUCAUCUUCCUAAAAGGAGAAAUGCAGAAAUCAUCAAUCUAGUUAUGAUGAGAGCAGGGAGAUUUAAAAAAAAAUUAAAAAAAAUCCCACUGUUGCAAAUUUUUCUUCUCGAGCAAAUAUAUAAAUAGUUUUUAUUGGUUCUUUUUAAAACAACAUGUAUUGAAACGCUCUAGAUUUAAAUAGCUGCUUCCCUCUGAACAGGGAACACGUUGGUAGUUCCUGUUGUGCUGCAUUUUCUUGGUUUGUUUGCUUGUCUCUGGCAGGAACCACCCCAGCCCUCCACGAAGACACUGCGAGCUCGGCAGAGGGUCCCUGGGCACAGGGUGUGUGGCAGCGUGCUUGGAAAAAGGGAUGCAAACGCCCUCCCUGGCUGCAGUGCCAGGACUCUGCUGAGCGUCCACUCCUGCCAGGAGACCAGCUGCCUUCUCUCUUGCACAACUUUCGGUACAAAACAUGCCAUUGUCUCUGUGGGGGUAAGUUCACCUUUGCUAAAGAAUCUUGUUAUUUGGUCAGUGUUUGGUGGAGGAGAGGAGCCUCAGUCCUACGGCGAGAGGGCCAAGUCCCAACCCUGGCCGUGUGGGAUGCUAAACCCACACAGUGUAUCAGGUACCAUGCUCCCCCUGCCCCCCAUGGGCAGCAGUAGUGCCAUUUCCUGGGGUCCAUGAAAGCAGGCAAGCAUCGCAGGGGUCCUGGCAGCAACGCUGGGGCUCAGCCAGCCGGUCCCUGCAGUGCAGUGAGGUGUCGCCUGCCGGAGCUGUGGCACAAGGUGGCCCAGAGCCCAGGCUGCCAGCAGGGAGAGCUCCCAGCCCAAACCAGCACCCUCCAGCCCUCUCUGCAUACUGGGGGCACACAGCGAGCUUUAGCAUCUAAACCCGAGCCCACAGCUAGAAAGCCAGACCAAAAUACGGACCUGAAGACUCCCAAGUGCGAGCAAGUUCCAAACCUAACAUGAGUUUUACAGAUCAGCAUAACUUCUCUAGGAAAUACACUUCUUCAAAGCAUUGGCUCCAGCUUACAUGAACAUUUUUAUGUAUGGACAAUAAACCACUUUUUUUCUGGAAAACUUGAUGUCCACCAUGAUUUCUGUGCCACACCACAUGUAUCUUUCAGGAAUCCAAGUCUGGGUGAGUGUGUGGCCUCACAUUACACUCAAGAACAACUGGUACUUCAGCAUCACUUCUUCACCGUUCUGACGAUACCACAAAGGGGAACAAUCCAAUGGUUUUGGCACCAAAGAGCUGGCUCACACCUCUGGGGCUAUGGACCAGCCUCAUCAUGUAGCACUUCUGCAGUGAGGACAGGAGCGUGGGUCCUGUCCGCGGGCUCACACGACGCUGGGACCAGCCCUCCCAUUGGUGGGGUGGGGGCUGGCGAAGUUGGAGAAGAGCAGGGAGCCAGCAGCGGGAUGAGCUGGCUCCCAGCUGUGUGCGGUGGCAAUGGUCUGCAGUUGCUUAAAGCACUGGAUUAGUGCAAUCCACAGGGGUUCUAGUGGACCAAAGCCCUGCUGUGAAUGGGAGUUGGACUGGACGACCUCCUGAGGCCUCUUCCAGCAUAAAUUUUUCUGUGAUCUAUAGCAGUGCAAGAGGAUUGCCAAAAAUGUAUCAGCAGCUACCAUCACGUCUUCUAAAACAAACUGCAAAGCACUGCUGCGGCACUGCACAGCCCCUGGCGCCUUGCUAUGCCGUACGGGUGCAGCUGCGUGCAUUUUUCCUCUUGUGAUGCCUGCUAAGAGAAGAGCAGACAAAGCCUAGACUUCUCUGUAAGCAAUGUAGCUAACGAUGAGCUGCUGUGCAAAACUUUCUCACAUGGAAAAUCUCUUUCCCCUCCUUCCUUCAAAACUCUGCUGUCAUAACCAUCUUUCUUCCUGUGCUUGUUUUGGUUACAGCUGUUUGCAUCUCUGUAAGCCCCAGAUGAGUUUCUCCCGUGUGGACCCAUGCGGGGACUCCCAUCAUUGAGCCAUCCACCUGAUCACGGGGAUUGACUCGUGCCAUGCCUGAGUCGGAGCAGGGGCCCUGCAAGCGCCCGUUUGCCAGCCAUGCAGUGCUUGGGGCAACCUGAGAUGUGCAAAGUGUGGGUCCCCUUCUGCUGCUGGCUCCCUUCCUCCUCUUCUCCUCUGAUCUCCAGAACACAGGUAUUACAGACUUCUUACCCUCCAAUUUCCCACUCACGCCUCACGUGGUUUGACUGCCCAUGGCUGCAGGAAGGGGAGCAGCGAGGACUGUCUCUCCUGACCCACCUCUGCUGCAUCCAGCCGUGGUCAGGGAGAGCAGGUGGCACAGUGGGUACAACACGAGGAGCUUACACUGGCACUUACAGCUGCCGCCUGGGCUGAGCUCCACCAUGAGUAACACCACCACUUUUAACAGCUCAGGGGAACACAAAGAAUGAGGUAGUUUAAUGGUAAAAGCUUUGUAAGAUAAAUAUGAAAAUUAUACUUAGCCAGGCAAAUUAUAAGUAAUCAUAUCUUUAACAGAUUUAACUACUUGAUCUAUUUUUCUGUUGCUCACAAGCAAAAUGUUCUUUGUUUCAAGUACAUUUUUUCUAUUAUUCCCUGAAAAAUUCUUGUAUUCCUUCCUGUGAAGUUUUUGCAAACGGCUGUUUCUGAUCACUUGACACGUACACUGUGCUGGUCAGUUUUACUGCCCAAACGGUAUUUCUGUGCCCAGAUGGCAGGACCGUACCUUCUGGAGUCAGAUGACAAACACCAGCGGUCUCCCACAAACCCCCUUAUUACGUUGUUGUUUCUUCCCCAGUGCUAAACUGCCUGCUCUUGAAAAUUCAACUUAAAAUUUUGGACAUUUUUGCUGUGUUUACUAAGUCUCAAGCGGAUCAUAUUCUCAAACCCAACCAAACAACAAUCCAAGGGAGGACUGCAGGAGCGUGCCGGCAGGGCUGGCCAGGCUGUAAGCUCUCCAAACUGUGGCCGCUUCCAUGGGGCUAUUAGUAGCUCCGCUUGACAGUAUUUCCUAGAAAUACAAAUAUAGGUUGUACACUGAAACUGCCUUCCCAGGGCUUGUUUAUGAGAGCUGAGCCCAGUUCUGGGAAGUUUGCCAAGGAAAUGUUACCCUACAGUUCCCUCCCACCUCCCCAAACAAAGCAUUCCCCCAGUGUGUUUGACAGAAACAGAAUAAAACAGGCGAUAAAUGCUUAGGUAUUGCAUACAGGCAUUGCAUGUGGGUAUAAAUGGAAUAAGCUGAACAUUAUUUGUCCAGCUUUGCUGAUUCUGAGCUCAGCAACCCAUGGGAAUAACCUUGCCUGCUUGUUGACAAGUCAUCUAAUUCAUCUUGAUACUGAUGACUAAUAGUCCUCGGGUAAAAUCCUUGGCCUCACUGAGGUCAAAUGCAAAACUACUAUUAACUCUAAUAGGGCCAGAGUUUUACUCCGCUCUCUGCCUGUUGUAGUGGUACCCUUACCGCUUCCUACGAUCACUGGACUUGUCCAGCUGCAGAAACAUGAGCCCUUCCCUCCCCAGCGACAAACCUCAGACACCAGGUUUGUAGUAAGGAGUAUUUCAGCAAGAAAAGCUGUUUCUCUCACUUCUACCAGCAUUGAGCAUCACCUGUGCCUCCAGCAACACACACUGGGGCUUCCUCUCAUGGCAGCUGCUUCAUGGGACCUGUGAGAUGCGGCCACCCUGCAACGUUGCUUCUCCUGCUUUGGGGCAGUGAUGGUACUCCAGCUGGCUUUUCAUGGUGAAAUGGUAAAGCAUGGGGAAACUGGAAUCUGAGGAGGGCCUCACAAACCAGGCAAUGCUCUGGCUGGCAGAAAGCCUCAGAGAAGAUUGCUUAUUGAGGUCGGUGGCAUUGCAGCCCCCGGUCACCCCCCAGCUGGUGCUGAGCGGCUGCUUCUUCCCUGAUUUCACUGUGCAGUGCAUGGUUAAAGAUCAUUAAAAGAACGUGAUCACAGAAAGGACGGCAACGCUCCCAGGUUAGGAGCAAAAAACCCUGUUUUCUAGUUACUGGCAGUUGAUAUUCAUGGAAAAUAUGUGUGCCUGUAAGAGGGUCCUUUGUUUUUACAUACUUUUUGUAAAAGAUAACUUUGCCUUACCACAUAACGCUCUUGUCAACAGCUACAAACCUGUAUUCUGUGGAAUGAAUCUUUAUUUAAGAGUAAACAACAGUAGAAGGCCAUGUGUCACAAGGUGCAAAACAGUUCUGCAACCAAAGGUCUCUGCCUGGUUGUGGUUUGGGGCUUCCAGCCCAAGGGAAAACAUUCAUGGCAAGUAGCGUUGUUUUUCCUUUGAAGAACACAAGUGUGAAGAUCCUUUGCUUCAAUGCAGGUGGUGUUUAGGCAACAGCAGACUGUUUUUCCAGCUGUCCAUGACUGGGUCUGUUCUGACACAGAGAAGCCACCGCUGGGUCUCAGCUGGCCCAGUACCAUGCCAAGGGCAUUGCUGAAUCCCAGCCACGCUCUCGCACAGCCUGCCAGGCUCCACUUUCCCAUUUGGUGGAUCAUGCAUGUUUUCCCCUCUACAUGGUCUCAACCCCGCUCUCCUUGUUAGACCUUACUGAUGUCUUGUUCCUGCUGCUGAAACAUCCACAGUUCUGUGUUGGGUUUAAUGUGUAGGAAUCCACUUGUUUUAUUUUCCUCGACUCAUUAAGUUUCAUUAAGACACGCAGUGCUCUGAGUGUCGGUGCUACCCUUGUUCAGUUACACAGCGGGGACGGCAGGCUGUGCCAGUGCCCCGCUCUUGUGCUGCCCCUCAGCAGCCCGGGAAGGCCGCUCUUCUCUUCUGAAGGAAAGAACUAAUUCUAAAAUAGAUCAGGAAUUCAGAGGGAAACAAAAAAAAACAGCGUCCCUUUCAUUUUGGCCAUGCUUUAUUUAACCUGCUCUGGUCACUCGUUCAAUGAAGUCCCUUUGCAUCCCACUGACCAACGAGCAAGUGAUCAGGACCAACAUCAGCAUCAAAGAAACAGUGGAAGCACAUUUUCCACUAACACCUACAAGGUGUGUCUUUAAAAAUCAUCUAAAACCCACACUGCAAAGAAUCAAAGGCGCUUUCUAAACACACCCCAUGUGUGUACGGGACUGUGACUGCUCCGUUGGCUCUCUGCCGGAGGUUGUACAGUAUUGGGCUCACUGUGUUUUCACCAUGUGGCUUGCAGAUCUGGAUCCAGCACGAUAUGUCUCUCUGAGAACUGGGCCCAGCAAGUUUGACAUGUCCAUCAGUAGGACAAACAGACCUUCAGAGGAGCUCCACAGUUCUCCCACUCCAUGGCUGGGAGUCCAGAGACUAGUCCUGGUGGCACUGCACCAGGAAGAUGCCUUACAUGAAUAGAAGAGGUCAAUUAUUUGUCUAAAAUACCACAAGACCCCUGACAAACCUCAGUUCUACCCCCAAGGCCCUUGGGGACUCCGAAUGAUACAUGUCUAUAAUCCAAGCCCUGGUUUAGCUGCAAACCUCUGACUGUCCUGUCUUCCACACCACCGAGAAUACUCCCUCAAAACAGGGCUGAGUCCUGAGCCCCUGGCAGAGCUCACUGACACAUCGCUGAGGUGUCCCGCGGGGUUUACACCAAGGUGAGAGCCGUCUGAACCUUGCCGUGCUUCACAGGGCAGCGGCAGAAGGUUAGGGAGCACCUUGCUUCCUGCUACGUGGGAGCAGCAAGAAGGGGCCACAGGAGCUAUCUGCAUCUCUCUGCGUCAGCACAAGGCAUUCAGGUGCUACGAGCAUAGGCGGCUGGCAGAACUGCUCAGAGCCCAGUGCAGGGUACCUGCGACUACCCUGAGCAUGUCCGAUCAUUUUAGGGGACAAAUUACUUGACACUCUUCACUCUGUCAAACAUACUACUGGCCACUGGUGGUUGCUUCUGCUUCCUGACAGGAUGGCUGAUGGUGACGGACAGGGGGAAAAGAAAAAGAUAGUAAAUGUUGGGCAGGGAGAAAAAUUUGUCCUGGGCAAUGUUAUUCAGCCAGAAUUUAUCAACAGCUUGAUAAACACCUUGCAGUGUUUUUGUGAUAUGUUUGUGAAUAAUCAAAAAGCAGCAAAUAGAAUAGAAGCUGCAUAUUCAACUGUUCCAGUUCUGUUGAGUGCUUCACAUCUGGUUGUAUACUGGUCCACUUAAUCACUAAAGAGGGUGCAUGUGAAAAGCAGUUGCCCUCUUCAAAAAGCUUAUUUCUGCUUUUGGGCUUCCCUUUCUGCUAUCUAUUAACUCUCCAUACUCACAGCAGCUCACUUUCUCACUCGCAGCCUCCUGUUGCUCUGAUUGUCUUUGACAAGGGCAAUGCAAUGGGGAUGGGGAAGGAUGAUGGAAAACAUUAUGAUUUAUCAGCAGCCUGUUGUACAUACUAUUAUGAAAUGAGAAAUAAAACCCAUGUGUAAAAUAUCAGUAUUGGUACUAAACUAUAAAGCUCAUAAGGCUGUUAACUGUAGGGAAGGCUGUGACGGGGUGGAUCAAUGGUCUCAGACGAAAGCCAGCUGCCCAGUAUCUUGCCUCUGACAGCAGCCAGUAGCGGAUGCUUAAGAAGAAUGUAGGAGAAGACAAGUAUCAAGUGACCCCCUCUCUGCACCAUCCUCUUUGCUAUCACCAGUAGACGCUUCAGGGAACUCCUAACACCAGAUGCUUCUUCCUGAACACUACAUUUAAUAACGAGAUUUUACCCAAUCCUUUUUAAAGUCAUCUGUACUCUUGGCCUCCACAACAUCCUGUGGCUAUGAGUUCCACUGUUUAAUUAUGUGUUGUUUGAUCGUUUCAAUGUCCUCAUCUGCAAAUCUAAUAGCAGCACGAAGGCACUGGAAAACACCUAAGUAAUUC